RNAcentral lists this unclassified non-coding RNA (445 nucleotides) under uncultured Bordetella sp. RNAcentral describes it as "partial 16S-23S ribosomal RNA intergenic spacer". It matches the Rfam family "Bacterial small subunit ribosomal RNA", at positions 340 to 793 of the family's 1533-position model. Lineage: Bacteria; Pseudomonadati; Pseudomonadota; Betaproteobacteria; Burkholderiales; Alcaligenaceae. The record is from RNAcentral.
UGCGGGGCGCAGCAGUGGGGAAUUUUGGACAAUGGGGGAAACCUGAUCCAUCCCGCGUGUGCGAUGAAGGCCUUCGGGUUGUAAAGCACUUUUGGCAGGAAAGAAACGGCGCAGGAUACCCGUGCAACUGACGGUACCUGCAGAAUAAGCACCGGCUAACUACGUGCCAGCAGCCGCGGUAAUACGUAAGGUGCAAGCGUUAAUCGGAAUUACUGGGCGUAAAGCGUGCGCAGGCGGUUCGGAAGAAGGUCUUGAAAUCCCAGAGCUUAACUUUGGAACUGCAUUUUAACUACCGAGCUAGAGUGUGUCAGAGGGAGGUGGAAUUCCGUGUAGCAGUGAAAUGCGUAUGCGGAGGAACACCGAUGACGAAAGCAGCCUCUGAGACCAACUUACUGACGCUCAUGCACGAAGCGUGGGGAGCAAACAGGAUUAGAUACCCGUGUGG